CACCGGCGUCCUUAGUGGGAAUCACUUAUUAGGUCUAAAGCGCUCGUAGUCGGCUUUGUAAAUUUCUUGUGAAAUCGUGUCGCUUAACGGCACGGCGUGCAGGAAACACUGCAGAGCUUGGGACUGGGAGGCGUCAGAAGUAUUCCUUAGGGAGCGGUAAAAUGUGAUAAUCUAAGGAGGACUACCUGUGGCGAAGGCGUCUGACGAGAACAGGUUCGACGAUCAGGAGCGAAGGCUAGGGGAGCAAACC
Molecule: ribosomal RNA, 250 nt
Filed under: uncultured archaeon
Lineage: Archaea
Description: partial 16S ribosomal RNA
Rfam family: Archaeal small subunit ribosomal RNA
Source: RNAcentral